RNAcentral lists this ribosomal RNA (627 nucleotides) under Triticum aestivum (bread wheat). RNAcentral's name for it is "partial small subunit ribosomal RNA". Lineage: Eukaryota; Viridiplantae; Streptophyta; Magnoliopsida; Poales; Poaceae. The record is from RNAcentral.
UGUUGUCUUUGUGUUUGGAUAUUAUGUGCAUGCAUUUUCUUGUAGGACCAUGGCUGAAGGAGGUGGAAAACCUUUGAAAAGCACUACGAGGCCAUUAGCAAGAUGCUAUCUCAAAGUGGAUUUGGGUGGGAUUGGGUCAAUAACAAGCUGUCAAUUGAUAGUGAAGAUGUGUGGCUUAAAUAUGUCGCGGCUAACAAGAAAGUAGGAUUUUACAAGAACAGGGUCAUUAAGAAUUGGGAUGCUAUCACCACCAUAUACUCAAAAGAUCAUGCAAAUGGUGAAGGUGCUGUCACUGGUGCUGAAACUGUUGUAGAACCAACUACGGAACCCAAUGAAGCCUCUCCUGAAGUGCCACAAAAAAAACAACGAACUAGUGAUGCCAUCCUGUGCCUUCUUGGGGAUAUGAAAGGCUCAUUUCAUGAUGCUUUGAAGUCACUCGAGCCUUUACCUCUGCCCCAAGUUACACCUCCUGCUGAAAUCCUUGCGACACUUGAGAUGAUCCCUGAUCUAGCUCGUGGUGACAUCUUGCGAUCUUAUGGUAAGUUGAUCCUUAGCGAACGCUUGUACCAAGCGCUUCUUGAGCUUCCCAUGAACUUCAGGAAGGAAUGGUUGUUGAUGUUGAAUUAG